RNAcentral lists this long non-coding RNA (205 nucleotides) under Elaeis guineensis (African oil palm). RNAcentral's name for it is "long non-coding RNA (EGUI_LNC045093)". The record is from RNAcentral. Lineage: Eukaryota; Viridiplantae; Streptophyta; Magnoliopsida; Arecales; Arecaceae.
CAUACGAGAGAUCACUUGGAUUUAUACUCGAUCGUCAGUGAUUGUCUCGAUGUUGUAGUUGUGUAAAUGGUCCUUUAACUUGCAAUAGUAUGACUGCUUGUAGUGAGGCUGCUGAAUGCUGACUGACACAUAAAUAUGAUCUCAGUGAGCUCUUGUAGUGGAUGUUGAUGACAGUUGAUCCACUGUAGGAGUAGAAUAUGCAUCA